UUAAAACAAUAAAUGUUAUCAAAUAUUUAUAUAUCCAGCUCGCACAAGAGAGGUAGGAGUAGCACGUUCUAGAAGAUGUGUUUUGAUGUAGUAGUUUAUAAAUGUAAUAGUGUGCCACCCAAUUGCAUAUUGGAGUGAAGUUUCUCUAACAUCUUGGAACAUUUUUUAAAGGAAAAAAUCAUCAACGUGUUGUUUUUAAUUAAUCAAUAAUAACAAUGCACAUGCCUUU
This 229-nucleotide long non-coding RNA is filed under the name Hordeum vulgare. Its description in RNAcentral is "long non-coding RNA (HVUL_LNC011426)". The record is from RNAcentral. Lineage: Eukaryota; Viridiplantae; Streptophyta; Magnoliopsida; Poales; Poaceae.